This 947-nucleotide ribosomal RNA is filed under the name uncultured Campylobacterota bacterium. Its description in RNAcentral is "bacterial SSU rRNA". It matches the Rfam family "Bacterial small subunit ribosomal RNA", at positions 335 to 1300 of the family's 1533-position model. The record is from RNAcentral. Lineage: Bacteria; Pseudomonadati; Campylobacterota.
ACUCCUACGGGAGGCAGCAGUGGGGAAUAUUGCACAAUGGAGGAAACUCUGAUGCAGCAACGCCGCGUGGAGGAUGACGCAUUUCGGUGUGUAAACUCCUUUUAUAUAGGAAGAUAAUGACGGUACUAUAUGAAUAAGCACCGGCUAACUCCGUGCCAGCAGCCGCGGUAAUACGGAGGGUGCAAGCGUUACUCGGAAUCACUGGGCGUAAAGCGCGCGCAGGCGGUCUUUUAAGUUGGAUGUGAAAGCCUACGGCUCAACCGUAGAACUGCAUCCAAAACUAUUAGACUAGAGUGCGGGAGAGGAAGAUGGAAUUAGUUGUGUAGGGGUAAAAUCCGUAGAGAUAACUAGGAAUACCAAAAGCGAAGGCAAUCUUCUGGAACACUACUGACGCUGAGGCGCGAAAGCGUGGGGAGCAAACAGGAUUAGAUACCCUGGUAGUCCACGCAGUAAACGAUGAAUGUUAGUCGUCGGGUAGCUAGUCUAUUCGGUGAUGCAGCUAACGCAUUAAACAUCCCGCCUGGGGAGUACGGUCGCAAGAUUAAAACUCAAAGGAAUAGACGGGGACCCGCACAAGUGGUGGAGCAUGUGGUUUAAUUCGAAGAUACGCGAAGAACCUUACCUAGCCUUGACAUAUAUUAGAAUCUUUCAGAGAUGAGAGAGUGCCUUCGGGAGCUUUUAUACAGGUGCUGCACGGCUGUCGUCAGCUCGUGUCGUGAGAUGUUGGGUUAAGUCCCGCAACGAGCGCAACCCUCGUCACUAGUUACUAACGGUUCGGCCGAGGACUCUAGUGAGACUGCCUUCGCAAGGAGGAGGAAGGUGAGGACGACGUCAAGUCAUCAUGGCCCUUACGGCUAGGGCAACACACGUGCUACAAUGGCCAGGACAGUGAGACGCGAUACCGCGAGGUGGAGCAAAUCUAUAAACCUGGUCUCAGUUUCGGAUUG